RNAcentral lists this ribosomal RNA (253 nucleotides) under uncultured bacterium. RNAcentral's name for it is "partial 16S ribosomal RNA". It matches the Rfam family "Bacterial small subunit ribosomal RNA", at positions 524 to 776 of the family's 1533-position model. The record is from RNAcentral.
GACAGAGGGUGCAAACGUUGCUCGGAAUUAUUGGGCGUAAAGCGUACGCAGGCGGCUCGGCAAGUCGAGUGUGAAAUCCCGGGGCUCAACCCCGGACAUGCAUUCGAUACUGCCGGGCUUGAGUGCGGGAGAGGGAAGCGGAAUUCCUGGUGUAGCGGUGAAAUGCGCAGAUAUCAGGAGGAACACCAAUUGCGAAGGCAGCUCGCUGGAACGUUACUGACGCUGAGACGCGAAAGCGUGGGGAGCAAACAGG